CCGGAGUCUCCAAAUUUCAGCAUUUCUUUUCUGUGUUAUCAGAUAAACCCGUUGUUGGCGAUGAGUUUCUAGCCCAGUUUCUCCAAAACUAUGAAAUUGAAGAUGAUAUUAAAAUGCUGUUGGAGAUGCCAGCAAAUGGAGAAAAAGAAAUGACAGGAAAGGAAGAUGUGUGUCAAGCUCCUUCACGAGAGCUAGCUUUCUUUGAAGUGUCAGAUUGGAAGCUGAAUGAUCAGGAGGCAGAGAAAACAUCGCUGGUUCCUGAGCGGGACCAGGAUGGAAUGUGGGAAUCAAGAACAGAGAAGAAACUCAGGAAAACUCGCCACCAUGGCCGGAAAAAGGUAAUCUCGCACCAUAAAAAGAGGCGACAGUUUCUCAAAAUGUUGUACGAAACAAUGGAAGAAGUGAAGAGCUGUGAAGAACUUGUUUCAAAUAUGCUACAUGCUCUGAAAUGACCACUGCUUGUAGAAGAUCAGCCACUGGAAAUAUUCGUGGACUUCCUUUCAUUGACUCAAGAUUUCAGAGUUUGCAACACUGUGAAUACAUGUUUCUUUUGUCUACCUCGACCUGGGCUUACUUGUCACCAGCGCCAUUAGAGGUCUGACGGCCGCAUCGAAAUUUGAGAAAUGAUGUUUUAAAGGCAACUGCAAUUGUGAUAAGUGGAGAGUCCAAUGAAUAUACGGUGUUGUUAUAAGAGGUUGUACCAAAAGGUGUCUUGAUGUUCAAUGAUUAUUGUAUCUGUAAAUAAAAUGUAUUAUUUUGAUAUGUGGCUGGAUUGU
Molecule: long non-coding RNA, 776 nt
Filed under: Felis catus (domestic cat)
Lineage: Eukaryota; Metazoa; Chordata; Mammalia; Carnivora; Felidae
Description: lncRNA (ENSFCAG00000044165.2)
Source: RNAcentral